This 497-nucleotide ribosomal RNA is filed under the name uncultured bacterium. RNAcentral's name for it is "partial 16S ribosomal RNA". It matches the Rfam family "Bacterial small subunit ribosomal RNA", at positions 28 to 507 of the family's 1533-position model. The record is from RNAcentral.
GAUGAACGCUGGCGGCGUGCCUAAUACAUGCAAGUCGAGCGAACAGAUGAGGAGCUUGCUCCUCUGACGUUAGCGGCGGACGGGUGAGUAACACGUGGAUAACCUACCUAUAAGACUGGGAUAACUUCGGGAAGCCGGAGCUAAUACCGGAUAAUAUAUUGAACCGCAUGGUUCAAUAGUGAAAGACGGUUUUGCUGUCACUUAUAGAUGGAUCCGCGCCGCAUUAGCUAGUUGGUAAGGUAACGGCUUACCAAGGCAACGAUGCGUAGCCGACCUGAGAGGGUGAUCGGCCACACUGGAACUGAGACACGGUCCAGACUCCUACGGGAGGCAGCAGUAGGGAAUCUUCCGCAAUGGGCGAAAGCCUGACAGAGCAACGCCGCGUGAGUGAUGAAGGUCUUCGGAUCGUAAAACUCUGUUAUUAGGGAAGAACAAAUGUGUAAGUAACUAUGCACGUCUUGACGGUACCUAAUCAGAAAGCCACGGCUAACUACGUG